CGGGACGCGGGAGGCAGGAGGGGGAGGCGGACACCAACUAACCUGCUAAUAGGAAGAGCCGGAGGAGUCAACCCUCCGCAAAUUCGCUUGACAAUCUUCCCACUUUGUGUUGGAAGCGCCCAAUGCAGAAACCCUUUACAAAAAUAAGUGCAAUUCUAACACCUAACAAGGAAAUAAAAAAAAAUUACAGCACAGGAAUGAUACAGCUGAUGGCAAAACAAAUGGAAAUAUUAAACUCAAAGAUAGACUAUCAGCAGAGACAGGAGUAAAUGUCACAUAUGAUAUAACCAUACAGUAAGCAAACAGGAUUCUUAUAUGGGAUUGAGAUACUCCUUCUUCCCGCACCCCCCGACCGCACACAGCCGUGGACGGAGCCGUGUAAAUGAACUCUAUGUCUUUGUCAGGGCCUUUAAACAUCUGCAACGAAAGAGCACGAGUGAGUGCCUGGCUGCUGCUGCCCGGCAGCUCUGCCCUGCCCGCCCCGGCCCCACGCCGCGUCCCCGUACCUUGAUCUGCUUGAUCUCGUACUGGAUUCGCUUGAUCGGAUUCCCAUAUAUAUCGUUCCCUGAAUCCACCUCUUUCGCAGAGACGGCCUUUGCUCGGAUCACUGCAACAAAUAGACGUGGGGAGGUUAGCAGGGUGGUGCAGGGAUGCAGCGAGCUUCGUGACGGUGCCGCGGGGGCUUUGAGGAGGGCAGAUCCUGGGGUCCCGCUUGCCCCCUCUCCCCCGCCGGGGUGUGGAGGCUCGGAUGCUCAUGUUUCCCGCACGAGGCCAGCUGGGCUGAACUGCCUUCGUUGUUCCCCCUCUCCUUGUGGCACAGGCCACCCACGGGCUCUCAGCCGCCGCGGAGCUGGCUGUCACACGCUGUCCCCCAGGGACGCGCGGGAAGGUUGAGGGCAGCACUGGAGCAGCACGUCGCAGGGGGGGUGAUAAGGAAAGGUCACCCCCUGGCAUGGCCUGGCUCUGCCCCUCUCCCCCCACAUCCAGCCGGUUGCCCCCAAACAGCUCCAGCUCCGGGCAGGAUGCUGCCUGGGCUCAUGGCGCCCGUCACCCACAUGGCACCAGGGCUCAGCAGGACAGCUAAAACCCUGCCAGCAGUUUCCCGGAAGCGCUGCAGUAUUUGUCCUACUGUCAUUAAUUAAACUGGCCUCUGAGCAGGGCCCCAGCCAAGGGCCGGCGUGACCUGGCCUGGCCGGAGCGGACA
Molecule: long non-coding RNA, 1204 nt
Filed under: Struthio camelus australis
Lineage: Eukaryota; Metazoa; Chordata; Aves; Struthioniformes; Struthionidae
Description: lncRNA (ENSSCUG00000017295.1)
Source: RNAcentral